Molecule: long non-coding RNA, 443 nt
Filed under: Parus major (Great Tit)
Lineage: Eukaryota; Metazoa; Chordata; Aves; Passeriformes; Paridae
Description: lncRNA (ENSPMJG00000013627.1)
Source: RNAcentral
AUGGACUGUGCUGAGCUUCCGCUGAAUAUAGUCACCACAGACGAGGAAAACCAAGAGAGUGAUCUCAGAUACAGACCACAUGGGUUGGAGUCCUCCAAGGUCAGACUCAGAACCAUGACAAUUCUGCAGAAUACUGCAAGGCUCAUUGGAAAUCCUGUCUUGGCAUAGCAACUACAUGUUACCACUGCACCUCUUAAAUCACACAAAGACCUCCAAGGCAGAAAUAACUCCAUCAUGACGAUGGGAAGAGGGCUCUGCAGCUGUGUGACUGCACCUGCUUUUUUGUGAUGCGACCUGCAGAGGAUGCACUGAAUUUGCUAGUGCUAAGAAUCACUCCUCCAGGUUCCUUCCAUGCUGGCAUGCCUCUGUUCUGUAGCCCUUUGAUCUGGCUAAUUCAUGCCAGGCAAAAUAAAACACAAACUCACUAAAAUGCUGUAAGCCCA